Molecule: ribosomal RNA, 2803 nt
Filed under: Klebsiella pneumoniae
Lineage: Bacteria; Pseudomonadati; Pseudomonadota; Gammaproteobacteria; Enterobacterales; Enterobacteriaceae
Description: bacterial LSU rRNA
Rfam family: Bacterial large subunit ribosomal RNA
Source: RNAcentral
GGGUUGUGAGGUUAAGCGACUAAGCGUACACGGUGGAUGCCCUGGCAGUCAGAGGCGAUGAAGGACGUGCUAAUCUGCGAAAAGCGUCGGUAAGGUGAUAUGAACCGUUACAGCCGGCGAUGUCCGAAUGGGGAAACCCAGUGCAAUUCGUUGCACUAUCGUUAACUGAAUACAUAGGUUAACGAGGCGAACCGGGGGAACUGAAACAUCUAAGUACCCCGAGGAAAAGAAAUCAACCGAGAUUCCCCCAGUAGCGGCGAGCGAACGGGGAGCAGCCCAGAGUCUGAAUCAGCUUGUGUGUUAGUGGAACGGUCUGGAAAGUCCGACGGUACAGGGUGAUAGUCCCGUACACCAAAAUGCACAGGCUGUGAACUCGAAGAGUAGGGCGGGACACGUGGUAUCCUGUCUGAAUAUGGGGGGACCAUCCUCCAAGGCUAAAUACUCCUGACUGACCGAUAGUGAACCAGUACCGUGAGGGAAAGGCGAAAAGAACCCCGGCGAGGGGAGUGAAAAAGAACCUGAAACCGUGUACGUACAAGCAGUGGGAGCACCUUCGGGUGUGACUGCGUACCUUUUGUAUAAUGGGUCAGCGACUUAUAUUCUGUAGCAAGGUUAACCGUAUAGGGGAGCCGCAGGGAAACCGAGUCUUAACUGGGCGUUAAGUUGCAGGGUAUAGACCCGAAACCCGGUGAUCUAGCCAUGGGCAGGUUGAAGGUUGGGUAACACUAACUGGAGGACCGAACCGACUAAUGUUGAAAAAUUAGCGGAUGACUUGUGGCUGGGGGUGAAAGGCCAAUCAAACCGGGAGAUAGCUGGUUCUCCCCGAAAGCUAUUUAGGUAGCGCCUCGUGAACUCAUCUUCGGGGGUAGAGCACUGUUUCGGCUAGGGGGUCAUCCCGACUUACCAACCCGAUGCAAACUACGAAUACCGAAGAAUGUUAUCACGGGAGACACACGGCGGGUGCUAACGUCCGUCGUGAAGAGGGAAACAACCCAGACCGCCAGCUAAGGUCCCAAAGUCAUGGUUAAGUGGGAAACGAUGUGGGAAGGCACAGACAGCCAGGAUGUUGGCUUAGAAGCAGCCAUCAUUUAAAGAAAGCGUAAUAGCUCACUGGUCGAGUCGGCCUGCGCGGAAGAUGUAACGGGGCUAAACCAUGCACCGAAGCUGCGGCAGCGACACUAUGUGUUGUUGGGUAGGGGAGCGUUCUGUAAGCCUGCGAAGGUGUGCUGUGAGGCAUGCUGGAGGUAUCAGAAGUGCGAAUGCUGACAUAAGUAACGAUAAAGCGGGUGAAAAGCCCGCUCGCCGGAAGACCAAGGGUUCCUGUCCAACGUUAAUCGGGGCAGGGUGAGUCGACCCCUAAGGCGAGGCCGAAAGGCGUAGUCGAUGGGAAACAGGUUAAUAUUCCUGUACUUGGUGUUACUGCGAAGGGGGGACGGAGAAGGCUAUGUUAGCCGGGCGACGGUUGUCCCGGUUUAAGCAUGUAGGCUGAUUGUCCAGGCAAAUCCGGAUAAUCAAGGCUGAGGUGUGAUGACGAGGCACUACGGUGCUGAAGUAACAAAUGCCCUGCUUCCAGGAAAAGCCUCUAAGCAUCAGGUAACAUCAAAUCGUACCCCAAACCGACACAGGUGGUCAGGUAGAGAAUACCAAGGCGCUUGAGAGAACUCGGGUGAAGGAACUAGGCAAAAUGGUGCCGUAACUUCGGGAGAAGGCACGCUGGUGUGUAGGUGAAGUCCCUGCGGAUGGAGCUGAGACCAGUCGAAGAUACCAGCUGGCUGCAACUGUUUAUUAAAAACACAGCACUGUGCAAACACGAAAGUGGACGUAUACGGUGUGACGCCUGCCCGGUGCCGGAAGGUUAAUUGAUGGGGUUAUCCGUAAGGAGAAGCUCUUGAUCGAAGCCCCGGUAAACGGCGGCCGUAACUAUAACGGUCCUAAGGUAGCGAAAUUCCUUGUCGGGUAAGUUCCGACCUGCACGAAUGGCGUAAUGAUGGCCAGGCUGUCUCCACCCGAGACUCAGUGAAAUUGAACUCGCUGUGAAGAUGCAGUGUACCCGCGGCAAGACGGAAAGACCCCGUGAACCUUUACUAUAGCUUGACACUGAACAUUGAGCCUUGAUGUGUAGGAUAGGUGGGAGGCUUUGAAGCGUGGACGCCAGUCUGCGUGGAGCCAACCUUGAAAUACCACCCUUUAAUGUUUGAUGUUCUAACGUUGGCCCCUGACCGGGGUUGCGGACAGUGUCUGGUGGGUAGUUUGACUGGGGCGGUCUCCUCCCAAAGCGUAACGGAGGAGCACGAAGGUUAGCUAAUCCUGGUCGGACAUCAGGAGGUUAGUGCAAUGGCAUAAGCUAGCUUGACUGCGAGCGUGACGGCGCGAGCAGGUGCGAAAGCAGGUCAUAGUGAUCCGGUGGUUCUGAAUGGAAGGGCCAUCGCUCAACGGAUAAAAGGUACUCCGGGGAUAACAGGCUGAUACCGCCCAAGAGUUCAUAUCGACGGCGGUGUUUGGCACCUCGAUGUCGGCUCAUCACAUCCUGGGGCUGAAGUAGGUCCCAAGGGUAUGGCUGUUCGCCAUUUAAAGUGGUACGCGAGCUGGGUUUAGAACGUCGUGAGACAGUUCGGUCCCUAUCUGCCGUGGGCGCUGGAGAAUUGAGGGGGGCUGCUCCUAGUACGAGAGGACCGGAGUGGACGCAUCACUGGUGUUCGGGUUGUCAUGCCAAUGGCACUGCCCGGUAGCUAAAUGCGGAAGAGAUAAGUGCUGAAAGCAUCUAAGCACGAAACUUGCCCCGAGAUGAGUUCUCCCUGAGACU